This 467-nucleotide ribosomal RNA is filed under the name uncultured bacterium. RNAcentral describes it as "partial 16S ribosomal RNA". It matches the Rfam family "Bacterial small subunit ribosomal RNA", at positions 28 to 507 of the family's 1533-position model. The record is from RNAcentral.
GAUGAACGCUGGCGGCGUGCUUAACACAUGCAAGUCGAACGGAAAGGCCUCUGCUUGCAGGGGUACUCGAGUGGCGAACGGGUGAGUAACACGUGGGUGAUCUGCCCUGCACUUCGGGAUAAGCCUGGGAAACUGGGUCUAAUACCGGAUAGGACAAUGGUUUGGAUGCUGUUGUGGAAAGUUUUUCGGUGUGGGAUGAGCUCGCGGCCUAUCAGCUUGUUGGUGGGGUAAUGGCCUACCAAGGCGUCGACGGGUAGCCGGCCUGAGAGGGUGUACGGCCACAUUGGGACUGAGAUACGGCUCAGACUCCUACGGGAGGCAGCAGUGGGGAAUAUUGCACAAUGGGCGCAAGCCUGAUGCAGCGACGCCGCGUGGGGGAUGACGGCCUUCGGGUUGUAAACUCCUUUCGCUAGGGACGAAGCGUUUUUGUGACGGUACCUGGAGAAGAAGCACCGGCUAACUACGUG